CUCGUAGGCGGUUCGUCGCGUCCGGUGUGAAAGUCCAUCGCUUAACGGUGGAUCCGCGCCGGGUACGGGCGGGCUGGAGUGCGGUAGGGGAGACUGGAAUUCCCGGUGUAACGGUGGAAUGUGUAGAUAUCGGGAAGAACACCGAUGGCGAAGGCAGGUCUCUGGGCCGUCACUGACGCUGAGGAGCGAAAGCGUGGGGAGCGAACA
This 207-nucleotide ribosomal RNA is filed under the name uncultured bacterium. RNAcentral's name for it is "partial 16S ribosomal RNA". It matches the Rfam family "Bacterial small subunit ribosomal RNA", at positions 568 to 774 of the family's 1533-position model. The record is from RNAcentral.